RNAcentral lists this ribosomal RNA (468 nucleotides) under uncultured bacterium. RNAcentral describes it as "partial 16S ribosomal RNA". It matches the Rfam family "Bacterial small subunit ribosomal RNA", at positions 28 to 507 of the family's 1533-position model. The record is from RNAcentral.
GACGAACGCUGGCGGCGUGCUUAACACAUGCAAGUCGAACGGAAAGGCCCUGCUUUUGUGGGGUGCUCGAGUGGCGAACGGGUGAGUAACACGUGAGUAACCUGCCCUUGACUUUGGGAUAACUUCAGGAAACUGGGGCUAAUACCGGAUAGGAGCUCCUGCUGCAUGGUGGGGGUUGGAAAGUUUCGGCGGUUGGGGAUGGACUCGCGGCUUAUCAGCUUGUUGGUGGGGUAGUGGAUUACAAAGGCUUUGACGGGUAGCCGGCCUGAGAGGGUGACAGGCCACAUUGGGACUGGGAUAGGGCCAGGACUGCUACGGGGGGCAGCAGUGGGGAAUAUUGCACAAUGGGCGGAAGCCUGAUGCAGCAACGCCGCGUGCGGGAUGACGGCCUUCGGGUUGUAAACCGCUUUCGCCUGUGACGAAGAGUGAGUGACGGUAAUGGGUAAAGAAGCACCGGCUAACUACGUG